Molecule: long non-coding RNA, 1844 nt
Organism: Drosophila ananassae
Lineage: Eukaryota; Metazoa; Arthropoda; Insecta; Diptera; Drosophilidae
Exons: 3
Source: RefSeq, a predicted model, not a curated record
UUAAAGCCAUUGUCUGAGUUGGUGUGGCCGUUAGUUAGUUUUGUUCGCCAAACGUAACAAUUGCCUUUUUGCAUUUUUAUUUGCUACAAACCACAACAAUAACAAGAAAAACAGGAACCAGCUUAGAGCCCAAAAUAGUUGAAAUACGACAGCGAAAACAAUUUGUUAGGCCAGAAGAAGUGUUUGGCCAAUCCUCUUGGCCAGAGGAAGAAUUUAAAUCAACUCCCAACUACCUAAUUGCAUAAGGUUUUCGGUUGGACCCUUUGGUUUUUGGCCAGGAUGUAUUUUAUUUUUGGUAUGUUGUGGCUUUAAUUAGUCAAGUAAGCGCUGAAAGAAAAAUUCUAAUCAAGACUUGAAAAGGAAAUUAUCAGAAGUAUACAAUGCAGUGAAGGAUGCUUCUUCGACCCUUAAAGUACUCCGGUUCUUAAGCGGAAUACCUUAAACGAUUUGUAGAUUGAUUCUCCAAAAAUCUGCAUCAAAAUUUAAAUACACAAUAUUUUUUUAAAUUUUUUGUUAAAUUUUCUGGGGGAUCCCCUUCAACAUUUUGCAAAUGGCUGGGCAGGACAAUCUGGCCCCCAGCGAUGGCCAUAUCUUGGCCAAUUUCUAUCGGAUUCUUAAACGGAACACCUUAAACGAUUUGUAGAUCGGUUUUCCACAAAUCUGCAUCAAAACCUAACAACGAAAUAUUUUAAAAAUUUUUUGUGAAAUUUUCUGGGAGAUCCCCUUCAACAUUCUGCAAAUGGCUGGGAAGGACGAUCUGGCCCCCAGCGAUGGCCAUAUCUUGACCAAUUUCUAUCGGAUUCUUAAACGGAACACCUUAAACGAUUUGUAGAUCGGUUUUCCACAAAUCUGCAUCAAAAUCUAAAAACAAAAUAUUUUUUAAAUUUUUUGUUAAAUUUCCUGGGGGAUCCCCUUCAACAUUCUGCAAAUGGCUGGGAAGAACGAUCUAGCUUUCAGCGAUAGCCAUAUAUUGGCCAAUUUUCAUCUGAUUCUUAAAGGGAAUACCUUAAACGAUUUGUAGAUUAAUUCUUCACAAAUCUGCAUCAAAAUCAAAAAACACAAUAUUUUUUAAAUUAUUUGUUAAAUUUUCUGGGAGAAACCCCUGGGAAGGACGAUUUGGCCCCCAGCGAUCGCCAUAUCUAGUUGUUCCUUCUUCUUUUAUGUAAAAGGUUCCUUUCACUCCAAGGCGAAAAAAGAAACUCAUUAUGUUGCAGCGGCAGAAAGUAAAGAGAAAAAGAAGUUUGGUGCCUGAAGACACACCCCAACCUCACGACCACCCAUAUAGCCACCCCAACCGCCACAGACAGAUACCACAAUGACACAGAAAGUGUUGAGCUGCAAAUGAGGGAACAAUGCGGCCAAAAAUAAAAACGAGGAAAAUGCAAAGUGGAAAUGCUUCGAGGGCAGGCCAUGCGUGGAGCAAACAAACUCGGAAAAUGCAAAACAGAUGUGUAAAUAAUUUAGACGAGUUGCCGGCACCAGAGAGUGUGUAUCUUUUUAGUUUAUGUAUCAUUAAAAAAUACUUACACAAAAACAAAGACCAAAGAAGUAUAAUGAGAGGCAAGGAAAAGCGGGAAAUGUGCCAUUUUCCAACUGCAAAGCAAACACACUCGACCGAAUGCACAAAAAACAAAAAAAUAUAACAUUAGGAGUUAUUUUAAGAACUGCAUAUUAAAACAGAUAUCAUCUUAAACAUUUAAGCAUAAUACUUAUAUGGAUUCGUUCCUUUACGAUUUUCUUACAAUAGAAUAUUUUGUUUUCUUAAAAUAGAUCUUGCAAUAGAGAUAGAAUUUCAUAUUCCGUCGGAUUGGUUUUUCUUAAAAAUAAAAUAUGUACAUAUUACA